AACGAACGCUGGCGGCAUGCCUAACACAUGCAAGUCGAACGAUGCCUUCGGGCAUAGUGGCGCACGGGUGCGUAACGCGUGGGAAUCUGCCCUUGGCUUCGGAAUAACAGUUAGAAAUGACUGCUAAUACCGGAUGAUGACCCCCUGAGAGAUCUUGGGGACCAAAGAUUUAUCGGCCAGGGAUGAGCCCGCGUAGGAUUAGGUAGUUGGUGGGGUAAAGGCCUACCAAGCCGACGAUCCUUAGCUGGUCUGAGAGGAUGAUCAGCCACACUGGGACUGAGACACGGCCCAGACUCCUACGGGAGGCAGCAGUGGGGAAUAUUGGACAAUGGGGGGAACCCUGAUCCAGCAAUGCCGCGUGAGUGAUGAAGGCCUUAGGGUUGUAAAGCUCUUUUACCAGGGAUGAUAAUGACAGUACCUGGAGAAUAAGCUCCGGCUAACUCCGUG
RNAcentral lists this ribosomal RNA (447 nucleotides) under uncultured bacterium. RNAcentral's name for it is "partial 16S ribosomal RNA". It matches the Rfam family "Bacterial small subunit ribosomal RNA", at positions 29 to 507 of the family's 1533-position model. The record is from RNAcentral.